This 442-nucleotide ribosomal RNA is filed under the name uncultured bacterium. RNAcentral's name for it is "partial 16S ribosomal RNA". It matches the Rfam family "Bacterial small subunit ribosomal RNA", at positions 338 to 795 of the family's 1533-position model. The record is from RNAcentral.
CCUACGGGUGGCAGCAGUGGGGGAUAUUGCACAAUGGGGGAAACCCUGAUGCAGCGACGCCGCGUGGGCGAAGAAGUAUUUCGGUAUGUAAAGCUCUAUCAGCAGGGAAGAAGAAAUGACGGUUCCUGAGUAAGAAGCACCGGCCAAAUACGUGCCAGCCGCCGCGGUAAUAAGGAGGGUGCAAGCGUUAUCCGGAUUUACUGGGUGUAAAGGGAGGGCAGGCGGGUAGGCAAGCCUGAAGUGAAAGCCCGCGGCCCAACCGCGGGACUGCAUUGGGAACUGUCUGGCUGGAGUGCCGGAGAGGUAGGCGGAAUUCCUAGUGUAGCGGUGAAAUGCGUAGAUAUUAGGAGGAACACCAGUGGCGAAGGCGGCCUGCUGGACGGUGACUGACGCUGAGGCUCGAAAGCGUGGGGAGCAAACAGGAUUAGAUACCCGAGUAGUC